Long non-coding RNA from Passer domesticus (house sparrow), 491 nucleotides. RefSeq lists it as uncharacterized. The record is from RefSeq and is a predicted model, not a curated record. The transcript is spliced from 2 exons. NCBI's taxonomy places the organism in Eukaryota, Metazoa, Chordata, Aves, Passeriformes, Passeridae.
CUCCACAAGGGUCAAAAAUACAAAUCAGGUGUUGGAAAAACAAGCUGACAUCAUAAAAGAGAACUCCAUUGUACCUGUGUGACCCCACAUUACUUAGAUCCUGAUGACUGUAUGGAGCUGUCCCCCAUCUUUCUCAAAAAGGUGCAGUAGGCCUGAAUUUCGUGGAAAAAGGAAUACUCUUUUGGCCAAUGUCUGGAAUGGCAUAAUGUGCAGCAGAAAAUUUGGGUCCCACCUGAAAAAGCUGCUGCCUCCUGAAAAGAAGUGGACUUGUGCAGGGCUCUACUGUGAGAGAGAGAGGCUGAACAUGGAAUGUGAGCAGAAGGUGCUAACACAGGAUAACAAUGAUCCACUGGUGAGAAAUGCAGCUCAGGAGUACCAGAUCAGCUCUCAGAGCACUGCUUACUUCUGCUUGAAUUGGAAAUCAUAGAAACUGCACUGCAAGCCCUUCAGAAUUCUUGGCAGAAUUGUGAAUACACAAUCCAAUAGAUUAA